Molecule: ribosomal RNA, 256 nt
Filed under: uncultured bacterium
Lineage: Bacteria
Description: partial 16S ribosomal RNA
Rfam family: Bacterial small subunit ribosomal RNA
Source: RNAcentral
UACGUAGGGUGCAAGCGUUGUCCGGAAUUAUUGGGCGUAAAGAGCUCGUAGGCGGUUUGUUGCGUCGGCUGUGAAAUCCCGAGGCUCAACCUCGGGUCUGCAGUCGAUACGAGCAAACUAGAGUGUUGCAGGGGAGACUGGAAUUCCUGGUGUAGCGGUGAAUGCGCAGAUAUCAGGAGGAACACCGGUGGCGAAGGCGGGUCUCUGGGCAACAACUGACGCUGGAGGAGCGAAAGCGUGGGAGCGAACAGGAUUA